GACAUUAUCUUCAGGAUAUAAGGUCGCACUGAGGUUAAACACUUGUGCUUGAAGCACGUGAUUGAAUAUCAAGGUACAACAUUUUGCAGUACUGGUUCACCAGAGAAUAGAUUUGCCAAGGACAACAAUUUUGGAAGCCAGAGUGCCUCAA
Long non-coding RNA from Pyrus x bretschneideri (Chinese white pear), 151 nucleotides. RefSeq lists it as uncharacterized. Lineage: Eukaryota; Viridiplantae; Streptophyta; Magnoliopsida; Rosales; Rosaceae. The record is from RefSeq and is a predicted model, not a curated record. The transcript is spliced from 2 exons.